CUGCUAUUCUGCUUCAUGUUCAUUGCAUUUCCUAGAUUCUUUCCAAGUCAGAGUCAGAAGCCGGUAACAUGAGAGGGCACUGGAAAACAUCUAGGAAAUAAGGAUGCAGUUGGAUGUCUCUUCUGUAGCCUUGAUCUACAUUUCCUGAGGAGAAGAGAGUCAGGAUAGUCUGUGUAAACUCAUAUUUCCCCUUCCACAGUUUCUCUUUACGCAACCCCUUGGGCCACAGGCUUUCUUGCUCUGCAUGGAAAGAAACCAGAGAUGAAGAAGCCAACAAUUACUGAAACUGUCCCUGUCCAAGAAAAAGAUAAUAAGACUGAAGAAGUGGACUGAUGACCAUUAGUCUCAUGAGAAGUGAGAAAUCAAUAAGCAAUAGAUGAUAGAAUACUAAUUAAUAAAGGGAACCACAUAACCUGUAAGCCAAUGAACACCAAUUCC
This is a long non-coding RNA of Passer domesticus (house sparrow), 438 nucleotides long. RefSeq lists it as uncharacterized. The record is from RefSeq and is a predicted model, not a curated record. Lineage: Eukaryota; Metazoa; Chordata; Aves; Passeriformes; Passeridae. The transcript is spliced from 3 exons.